UAAGUGUCACAACUCAACACUGUACUUUUCAAUGAUUUCUCCCCGUGAUCAUUUCUAAUGUACCAACUAUGGUAAUUCAAACUCUGAGGGUUUACUUCUCACACUUCUUCGUUUUGGAAUUCGUCUUUAACAUGUUCAUGUGAGCUUCUCUGUCCAAAGUAUCUGAAGACAACCCUUACUAACAUAUGUUCUUGAAAUUCAACUCUCUACUUUCAUGGUGGUCAAAUUUCUCUAGCAUAAUACUCAUUGCAGAUGAAGUUUCAACACAACCACCCUAAUGUCAUCAUCAACCUUGUCAUUCCUUUUAAUGUUAGAUAAUGUUAUCUCCAGUUUUACAAAUCGAUCAUGCUUAAGGUAUUUUUUAC
RNAcentral lists this long non-coding RNA (365 nucleotides) under Phaseolus vulgaris (common bean). RNAcentral's name for it is "long non-coding RNA (PVUL_LNC003804)". Lineage: Eukaryota; Viridiplantae; Streptophyta; Magnoliopsida; Fabales; Fabaceae. The record is from RNAcentral.